This 524-nucleotide ribosomal RNA is filed under the name uncultured bacterium. Its description in RNAcentral is "partial 16S ribosomal RNA". It matches the Rfam family "Bacterial small subunit ribosomal RNA", at positions 28 to 523 of the family's 1533-position model. The record is from RNAcentral.
GACGAACGCUGGCGGCGUGCCUAAUACAUGCAAGUCGAGCGCAGGAAACUGACGGAACUCUUCGGAGGGAAGGCAGUGGAAUGAGCGGCGGACGGGUGAGUAACACGUAAGGAACCUGCCUCAAGGAUUGGGAUAACUCCGAGAAAUCGGAGCUAAUACCGGAUAGUUCAUCGGACCGCAUGGUCCGCUGAUGAAAGGCGCUCCGGCGUCACCUUGAGAUGGCCUUGCGGUGCAUUAGCUAGUUGGUGGGGUAACGGCCCACCAAGGCGACGAUGCAUAGCCGACCUGAGAGGGUGAGCGGCCACACUGGGACUGAGACACGGCCCAGACUCCUACGGGAGGCAGCAGGAGGGAAUCUUCCACAAUGGACGAAAGUCUGAUGGAGCAACGCCGCGUGAGUGAUGAAGGUUUUCGGAUCGUAAAACUCUGUUGUAAGGGAAGAACACGUACGAGAGGGAAUGCUCGUACCUUGACGGUACCUUACGAGAAAGCCACGGCUAACUACGUGCCAGCCGCCGCCGUAA